GACGAACGCUGGCGGCGUGCCUAAUACAUGCAAGUCGAGCGAGCGGAACUAACAGAUUUACUUCGGUAAUGACGUUAGGAAAGCGAGCGGCGGAUGGGUGAGUAACACGUGGGGAACCUGCCCCAUAGUCUGGGAUACCACUUGGAAACAGGUGCUAAUACCGGAUAAGAAAGCAGAUCGCAUGAUCAGCUUUUAAAGGGCGGCGUAAGCUGUCGCUAUGGGAUGGCCCCGCGGUGCAUUAGCUAGUUGGUAAGGUAAAGGCUUACCAAGGCGAUGAUGCAUAGCCGAGUUGAGCGACUGAUCGGCCACAUUGGGACUGAGACACGGCCCAAACUCCUACGGGAGGCAGCAGUAGGGAAUCUUCCACAAUGGACGCAAGUCUGAUGGAGCAACGCCGCGUGAGUGAAGAAGGUUUUCGGAUCGUAAAGCUCUGUUGUUGGUGAAGAAGGAUAGAGGUAGUAACUGGCCUUUAUUUGACGGUAAUCAACCAGAAAGUCACGGCUAACUACGUGCCAGCAGCCGCGGUAAUACGUAGGUGGCAAGCGUUGUCCGGAUUUAUUGGGCGUAAAGCGAGCGCAGGCGGAAGAAUAAGUCUGAUGUGAAAGCCCUCGGCUUAACCGAGGAACUGCAUCGGAAACUGUUUUUCUUGAGUGCAGAAGAGGAGAGUGGAACUCCAUGUGUAGCGGUGGAAUGCGUAGAUAUAUGGAAGAACACCAGUGGCGAAGGCGGCUCUCUGGUCUGCAACUGACGCUGAGGCUCGAAAGCAUGGGUAGCGAACAGG
This 781-nucleotide ribosomal RNA is filed under the name uncultured Lactobacillus sp. RNAcentral's name for it is "bacterial SSU rRNA". It matches the Rfam family "Bacterial small subunit ribosomal RNA", at positions 28 to 776 of the family's 1533-position model. Lineage: Bacteria; Bacillati; Bacillota; Bacilli; Lactobacillales; Lactobacillaceae. The record is from RNAcentral.